Molecule: non-coding RNA, 2658 nt
Organism: Camellia sinensis
Lineage: Eukaryota; Viridiplantae; Streptophyta; Magnoliopsida; Ericales; Theaceae
Source: RefSeq, a predicted model, not a curated record
UCUCUCUCUCUUGUUGAAUUCACUCAUUAAAAUCCUCUUAUUUCAUCAAUUUCUCUGGUUUUUCUUAUGGAUUAUUGUCAUAUUUCAUCUGGGUCUGCGUUUGUUUUGCCAGAUCUUGGUUAUUUGAUCGGUUGUUUUGAUAAUUGAUGCUUCGACAUGUUAUUGGGUGUUUAUUUUUAAUACAUAUUUUUGGAAUAAGUAAUUGGGUUCGAGUUGUUAUUCUAAGUAAUUGAGUGGAACCGCGCAAAAUAAUAAUAAUUGAGUGGAUAUGGAUGAGUUGGAGGCUGAUUGAUUGGUUCAAAUGAAUUUGUUGAUUUUUGUGAUACAGUGACUGAAAUUGUUGAUUCUAUGCUUUAUAGGGAUCUGAUAUUUUGGGUGUCUUUGAGUAUCAAAACAUGGUCAUAUAAGUGUUUGUUAUGCAUAAUAAUUUGGGGUUUUUAAGUCCUGUUGAUAGAUUUUUCAGUAUAAUUAGGUCCCAUGACUUUUUAGUUGAGAGAUCAUAUUGAUUUUGCUCUUUAAUAGGUAAGUCCUGUUUUUCAAAUUUUAGUUAAGAGUGUUUGUAGAGAGGUGGCUUACAAGAAACUUUUAUUGAACAAUAUGAGGGGGAGCUACUCGAAGUCUCCCUCAUUUUUGUCUAUUUCGAAUCAUUCUGUUAUAUUGAAGUUUAUUGAUUAAUUUUAUUUUUUUCCUUUCCUUGCUUUCUUCCUUUUUUUUUUUGAAAAAUUCAUCUUGCCCGUGAAUUUAUUCACUUAGAACCAGUAGCUCAAUCUUAUUGGUAUAAACCGUAUAUUUGCUAGUGGCAUGAUCUCUAUAGUGAAGACUGAACUCUUUAUGGCAAGUCAAGCUAUGGAUUCUGCUACCAUGCCCUGUUUGGCAGCCAACUUUUUGGUUAAAAAAGCCAAAAAACCUCAAAAAAGUCAAAAUAUCGCAUCAUACAUAUCGAUCACUUUUUUCCUCUCAACUAUCUAUUCAACUAAAAAAAUAUUCCAAAUACACUAACUUUUUUUCACCUCAUAAAAAGCCAAAAAGCUACUAAAAAAAAAUCAAGUUGCCAAACGGGCACCAUAUGAUAUAUAUCAUUAUAUUAAGUAGUUAUUAAGUUUUAAAUGCAUUGUAGAACUUUUUUUUUCCUAAUCUUUCUUCUCCUCGCUAGUUGGUAAAUAUGAUUUUAGUGAAAAAAAUUUACUUACCCUGUGACAUAAGCGACUUGAAUAACUUACUCUGAUUGUGGUCUCUUUGCUAAGCACUCCAAAUCUGGUGCAGUUACAUUCUUUUGUGUAACAACAUGAACCAAGUCCUUCCUACGCAUGCUAAUCGAGGCUACUUCAGCAGUCUUCACAAUCUCGAAAGUAAGCAAGCUAUUUAUUAUGGGAAGGAAAAAAAAAAAGGAUUUACAAUGAAGCUCCAGACAUGACAAAAGGCAACACCCUUCAAUUUACUGGCCCAACUACCAAACUCUACGUGGAGCUUUCAACAUUCGCUAUGCAACUCUAUUCAUUCCAUCAUUCUAUACACGUGAAGAAGAGAAGAGGAAAGGAAAGGACCUAUGCCCUAAUAAAACGAGGAAACACUCAUACUAAAAAAUCAACUACCUAGUUGAUCUAUGUAACGUCGGUUGUGUCAAAUCCAUCCGUUGCCCCACUCUUUACUGGCCUUGUUUGGUGUAGAUUAUUGGAAGCUAAAAGUUAAUAAUCGGAAAGCUAGAGCUAAACCUCUCCCCCAACUUUUAGAUAAUUAGCCUUUUUUAGCUAAUUGAAGUUAUUUCUGCUUGAUAAGCUAUGUAGAAACUGCACCGAACAAUCUGCAAGACUCUCAAAAUAAAAUGAACUAUAAUUCCCUCUUUUAAGUUGUAACACUCCCUGCUGGCUCCUUUUGGAAUAGAGUAGUCCAAGUAAUUGCCUCUAUCACUAAAGGUAACAAAGAGUUACCAAGGACUUUAGUACUAAACUAGUUAACUCAUUAAAGUCCAUUAGAGUGUUUAAAAUUCCUUGGCUACAUCCGUCCCCUUAAUGUUUACAUUAUAAAGAGAGAAUGCAAAUUCAAGCAUUUAUGAUUAUUUAUUUCUUUUAUUUCUUCUCUUAUUUUUUAGAUACAAAUAUUAAGCAAAUUCAAAAUUUUAUAUUUUAUUUUAAAUGAAAAUUAAUAAUUUCACCAAGGUGUGUUGAUACUUAAUCAUGAACCAACCCUUUAUGCUGUGUGCAUGCUGCUUUAAGCACUGCAUGGUAUAUUCUGUUGUUCAUUUCUUUCUUCCAGUUGUAUGUUUUUUAGGGUCUUUUGGUUUGUACAGUUCUUUUUAGCUUUCAUGGCCUAUAAGCCUUUUCAUUCUCUUACAAGGUGUGUAAGAUAUUUCUCUCUUUGUUGCCUCUUUUGUAAUGUCCAGGCUUUUUGCGUCUGCUCAAGUCGCCCAUUCUUGUUAAAUUAUGUGGUCCUUGAACAACUUUUUCCAGUCCUAGUUUUUCUUAUCUUUGCUUUCUUUUGUCUCUUUAUUGUUUUGUAUCUAGUUUCUUUUUCUGCAAGGUGUACAGUUUCAGUUGCUGGUAGUUUAGAUUCUCUUUAGGUCUUUGCUGUUUUGUAUUUUAGGUCCUGGGUCAUUCCCCUUGUGUUUUCUGUAAUUCUCUUUGUUCUAUUUUAUGACUUAUUUCACCUGGAAAAAAAAAA